This is a long non-coding RNA of Magnolia sinica, 783 nucleotides long. RefSeq lists it as uncharacterized. The transcript has 3 exons. The record is from RefSeq and is a predicted model, not a curated record. NCBI's taxonomy places the organism in Eukaryota, Viridiplantae, Streptophyta, Magnoliopsida, Magnoliales, Magnoliaceae.
GAAAAAGAUGCAAGAACAAUCCAUGGUUUGGUGAGCUAGGCUGUUGAUCCAAGCUUGCUACGGAUGUGCUGCAAACAAAUCAUUAAGAAAUUGCUGCAACAAUAUUCCAUGUAUGCAACAAUAAGACUUUCUACAAACUGGUAGAAGUCUAAUGCCAAAGAAAUCUGUGUACACGAAUCCUUAACUUCAGGUCCUUCUCAUGCUAUUGACAUAACAAGGGAGAUACACAUUUUCCUUGAAAGUAUGAUACAUGAGCCUAGUUCAUUUUUUUCAAAUUCCAUGUAUGAUAGUGAUGUUAAUUUUUUGUUUUUGUGUUACCAUUUUACAUUUGAACCAUGACCAUAUGCAAUCUGAGGUGUGGGGAGGCUCAUGAGGUUCCUUGGAGAUCUUUCUCAAUUGUCUCUAGCAUCCCCGGAUUAAGCUGAGAAAAUGACCUUUGUAUGCAAGGUUGGUCAACUUGUGCACAAUGUGUAUCAAUCAUUUACUUUGUGCUUCCACAAAAAUUGGACACAUGCCAUGAUGGUUUGUGAUCUGAAUUUUUGGUGAGGAAACUUGUUUGACAGUCAUGUUGAAGGUGAUACUUUUGUCCUUCUGUAUCAUACGUAUGCAACUGAUGCUUGAUGUGGAAAUUUGGGCCUUUUGAACCUUCCCUAAUUGCAUAAGUGGCUGAACCAGCUCUGUAUGUUACACAUAAUUUGUCAUCCACUAGUUCCUGUAAAUGAAGAUAAGAGGAUUGAUCUUAACAGUAUGGUCGUCAUGCACAUAGACAGAAAAUGCUUGCAA